GACGAACGCUGGCGGCGUGCUUAACACAUGCAAGUCGAACGGUGAUGCUCCAGCUUGCUGGAGUGGAUCAGUGGCGAACGGGUGAGUAACACGUGAGCAACCUGCCCCAGACUCUGGAAUAAGCGCUGGAAACGGCGUCUAAUACUGGAUACGAAACUGGCCCGCAUGGGCAUGGUUUGGAGAGUUUUUCGGUUUGGGAUGGGCUCGCGGCCUAUCAGCUUGUUGGUGAGGUAAUGGCUCACCAAGGCGACGACGGGUAGCCGGCCUGAGAGGGCGACCGGCCACACUGGGACUGAGACACGGCCCAGACUCCUACGGGAGGCAGCAGUGGGGAAUAUUGCACAAUGGGCGAAAGCCUGAUGCAGCGACGCCGCGUGAGGGAUGACGGCCUUCGGGUUGUAAACCUCUUUCAGCAGGGAAGAAGCGAAAGUGACGGUACCUGCAGAAGAAGCACCGGCUAACUACGUG
Molecule: ribosomal RNA, 468 nt
Filed under: uncultured bacterium
Lineage: Bacteria
Description: partial 16S ribosomal RNA
Rfam family: Bacterial small subunit ribosomal RNA
Source: RNAcentral